Molecule: ribosomal RNA, 253 nt
Filed under: uncultured bacterium
Lineage: Bacteria
Description: partial 16S ribosomal RNA
Rfam family: Bacterial small subunit ribosomal RNA
Source: RNAcentral
UACAGAGGGUGCAAGCGUUGUUCGGAAUUAUUGGGCGUAAAGGGAGUGUAGGCGGUCUUUUAAGUCUUCUGUGAAAUCUACGGGCUUAGCCUGUAACGUGCAGAGGAAACUGGAAGGCUUGAGUGUCGGAGAGGAUAGGGGAAUACCCAGUGUAGAGGUGAAAUUCGUAGAGAUUGGGUGGAACACCAGUGGCGAAGGCGCCUAUCUGGCUGACAACUGACGCUGAGACUCGAAAGCAUGGGGAGCAAACAGG